GCAACAUAAGAAAAUUUUUUCAUGAGAAAAUUUUUUAACUUCUAAUUUUUUUUUUCAACAAAAUGAACAACAAAAACCAAACAGAAUUUGAUAAAACAAGAACAAGUUGUACAUUAUGCUGAUUCAGAUGAAAAAAAAUAGAAGACAUCAGAUUGAAUUCUGCAGACUUGGCAAGGAAAAGCAGGAAAAAAAAGAGUAAGAACCUUGAAGUGUUGUAGAAUAAAUCCUAAAAACUACUCUUUUAAAGAAAAAAGAAAGAACCCUUUGGGUUGAGGCUAAUCUAUCUCCCUUAAAAAAUUCAUUGUGUUGACUCGAAAUUGUAAUGUCUCUUAGCUGCCAUUAUUGCUUAGAUACAAGGAUGUCGAAGUCACUAACAGUCCAUUCGGCAACCUGAUCAGGGGCUUUGAAAAUUUCAGUUCCCAAGUCAACAGACAUCCAUUGCCUCCUAGCUGGAGGAGUCCCUGGAUCCUGAUAAAAGUAAAGAGAUUGUGACAACCUCCCAACAUCAAGCUCCCAUGUUCUUGGAUCACCAAUCCAACCCUCACCUUGGCUAGUUGGAUAUCCAUACUCACCCCAAACAGGAUGCGGCAAAAUCUGCAAUAUUUCCUGAGGCUGAGGAUUGCUAUAUGGAUCACACAAACUGUAAGGCACCUCAAGAUGUUCUGCAUUCCCUGGAGAACAGUGCAAGUGAUAGGCUGCAUAAGGGAAGCGAGCAGUGUCAUUGCGAUGAACACGUGUUCCAUUGGCAAAUGUGUGGUAGGGUGGGCAGACAUUAAGGUUGUUAGGAUGGCACAAUGAACUUGUAUAAGGGUUUAUGAUCAUUUCGCUGUAUCGAGUAACGUCUGAAGUGACAUUUCCAUCACAAUGUUGUCCAUUGUUCUUCCAACAGCUUCCUAUGUCCAUUAGGUAAAACUGACUGCUAGGACCCCCACCUUUAAUUACUUUCAAAGUGAACCUCACCUUAAAAUUUGGUGAUUCUGGUAUAAUUUUGGACAUUCCCCUUGUGGGGUAAUGAUAGCCACUAGAAAGUCCAUAUGUGGCAUCCGACCUUAAGUAAAGCAUCAACCAUGGAUACUUUGUUGAAGUCCUCAAGACAUGGUGGAAAACCCAACUGCCCUUUCCAACUUCCUUCUCCCAACUUACAGAAUGGUAAGAAAUGUUACCCAACAAUCCUUUUCUCAAAUCAGCGUCCAAAUCCCAUGUCCCAUAAAACCUACCUUUAAGAGUAGUCCUAUUAGGCCCUUGCAGACUAGUAUAGUCAUGAUAAAUAAAUGGUUGGUUCAUGCACCCUUGUCCAAAGCAAGGAAACCCAGAAUCAGGGCCAAAAGGUCCCACUUUGUGGCCAUUUUUGGGGCACUUGGCUGCAUAAGUGUCCAUGUUCCCACUCUUGAGCAUGAUCAUCCAAAACUGCCAUGGAUUUGGACUGUCUUCAACUUGACAUUUAGAGCCUAAGUAGAGUUCUUUCUCUGCAGCAUAAAGAUUUACAUCAUAAAGGGACUUUGGUUGCACUCCAAGAAAGGGGUCUCCAACACCUAGUUUGUUGUCUUCCUCUGUGACUCUGUGCACCAACAUGUAGGGCAGCAAACUGCAGAUGGAGCAAUUCUUUUCUUUUGCCUGAGGAGAAGCCUUGUAUAUGUCAAAGCAAUCUGCAGCUCUUGGGCUGCCCAUGUAAGGAACUUCUUCUCCAACCUCAUU
This 1695-nucleotide unclassified non-coding RNA is filed under the name Hevea brasiliensis (rubber tree). Lineage: Eukaryota; Viridiplantae; Streptophyta; Magnoliopsida; Malpighiales; Euphorbiaceae. The record is from RNAcentral.